Molecule: ribosomal RNA, 437 nt
Filed under: uncultured Clostridium sp.
Lineage: Bacteria; Bacillati; Bacillota; Clostridia; Eubacteriales; Clostridiaceae
Description: partial 16S ribosomal RNA
Rfam family: Bacterial small subunit ribosomal RNA
Source: RNAcentral
ACGGGAGGCAGCAGUGGGGAAUAUUGCACAAUGGAGGAAACUCUGAUGCAGCAACGCCGCGUGAAGGAAGAAGGUCUUCGGAUUGUAAACUUCUGUUUUUAGUGACGAAACAAAGGACGGUAGCUAAAGAGGAAGCCACGGCUAACUACGUGCCAGCAGCCGCGGUAAUACGUAGGUGGCAAGCGUUGUCCGGAUUUACUGGGUGUAAAGGGUGCGCAGGCGGGACUGCAAGUUGGAUGUGAAAUACCGAGGCUCAACCUCGGAGCUGCAUCCAAAACUGUAGUUCUUGAGUGAAGUAGAGGUAAGCGGAAUUCCGAGUGUAGCGGUGAAAUGCGUAGAUAUUCGGAGGAACACUAGUGGCGAAGGCGGCUUACUGGGCUUUAACUGACGCUGAGGCACGAAAGCAUGGGUAGCAAACAGGAUUAGAUACCCUGGUA